This 112-nucleotide ribosomal RNA is filed under the name Escherichia coli. The record is from RNAcentral. Lineage: Bacteria; Pseudomonadati; Pseudomonadota; Gammaproteobacteria; Enterobacterales; Enterobacteriaceae.
UGGCGGCAGUAGCGCGGUGGUCCCACCUGACCCCAUGCCGAACUCAGAGAGUGAAACGCCGUAGCGCCGAUGGUAGUGUGGGGUCUCCCCAUGCGAGAGUAGGGAACUGCCA